UAACUAAAUUAACCUGUUUUAUUUCUUAUACAAUUCUUAUUUUCUGUUUCCUUCUUGCCUCUAGGUUUCAGAUAUUUAGAGCUACAAAAUUAUAUUUUUCUUUUCAUACCUCAUACUGCUUAUACUUAAAGUUAAGAUGCUCUUAAAUUUAUAAAGUAAUUUAGUUUGUGAUUUUCAUCUUGACUGAUACAUCACACUAAAAGUUAGAUAGUGCAUGGUUUUAACAAUGCGAGUUUGGGUUUGACACUAACAUAUUAAAAAUUUUAAGAUCAUUUAUUUAUAAGUGUCUUUUCCGCAGAAACACUAAAGAUGCACUUCUGGGAGCUUUCUGGCAUAAGUCUGGAAAUCUGCUAUUGUAUGUCUAUCACGCUUUUAAAAUAAAGGUUAAAAAAAAUUGUA
Non-coding RNA from Parasteatoda tepidariorum (common house spider), 399 nucleotides. The record is from RefSeq and is a predicted model, not a curated record. Lineage: Eukaryota; Metazoa; Arthropoda; Arachnida; Araneae; Theridiidae.